Molecule: ribosomal RNA, 301 nt
Filed under: Pontoporeia femorata
Lineage: Eukaryota; Metazoa; Arthropoda; Malacostraca; Amphipoda; Pontoporeiidae
Description: partial large subunit ribosomal RNA
Rfam family: Eukaryotic large subunit ribosomal RNA
Source: RNAcentral
GCGGCGGAAUGUUGCGUAAAGGGAAAGGUCGCAGUCAAACCCUACAGUCGCACGAUCUCUAAGUUAGCCACGAAUCGGCUGUCCCAUCUAAUAGCGGGAUGACUCCAUGGAGGGUGUAAGACCCGUUUGGGCGUGCGUAAAAACUGUAUGGGCUCGGCCUUUUUUCCCUGAGAGUCGCGUUGCUUGAGCAUGCAGCCCAAAGCAGGUCGUAAACUCGAUCUAAGGCUAAAUAUUUCCACAGGACCGAUAGCAAACAAGUACUGUGAGGGAAAGUUGAAAAGAACUUUGAAGAGAGAGUUCA